Homo sapiens (human) is the source of this 583-nucleotide long non-coding RNA. Ensembl annotates it as THUMPD3 antisense RNA 1. Its record names the gene THUMPD3-AS1. NCBI's taxonomy places the organism in Eukaryota, Metazoa, Chordata, Mammalia, Primates, Hominidae. The record is from Ensembl.
UCUGGAUGGCGGCGGCCGCGGCUCCGCCCCGGGUUCCCACCGCCUGAAGGGCGAGACAAGCCCGACCUGCUACAGGUGUGGAAACAGGAAGAGAACUAGAACUGGAAGUAAAGCAUUGAAGAUGUGACUGAAUUGCUGCAAUCUCAUGAUCAAAUUUGAAUGGAUGAGGAGUUGCUUUUUAGGGAUGAGCAAAGAAAGUGGUUUCUCGAGAUGGAAUCUACUGGUUGCUCCUUGAGGGCAGGACAGUUCUUAUGGCUUUAUCCGUUGCGUAAGCACAGAGAGGUCUGCGAGGUCAAAACUAUUGUCAUGAUAGCAAGAUGCCUGUCUUUUUCAUUUAUUCUCACGGUGUGCAGAGGCUACAUGAUGUGUGAUGACAUCCUCAUUGAUGUUAAUGAAUGGUGCUAUACUUGAAUUUUCUAAGGUGUCAUUAGGUAGGUUUAGGUAUGCAUACUUGUUUUUAGAAAUUAUUUUUUUCCUUUUUCCCAUUUUUAGAAAUCAACUCAUUUUUUAGGUUAUGCCUUCAGUAAUCUUUGCAACCUCAAUAUUGUGUAAUGGUUACUUUAAAAUACUGUAGUUUUCUUUG